AGAGUUUGAUCAUGGCUCAGGACGAACGCUGGCGGCGUGCCUAAUACAUGCAAGUCGAGCGCGGGAAGCAAACUGAAUCCUUCGGGAGGACGUUUGUGGAACGAGCGGCGGACGGGUGAGUAACACGUGGGCAACCUGCCUGUAAGACUGGGAUAACUCCGGGAAACCGGGGCUAAUACCGGAUGAUACUUCGUACCGCAUGGUACGGAGUUGAAAGAUGGUUUACGCUAUCACUUACAGAUGGGCCCGCGGCGCAUUAGCUAGUUGGUGGGGUAAUGGCUCACCAAGGCGACGAUGCGUAGCCGACCUGAGAGGGUGAUCGGCCACACUGGGACUGAGACACGGCCCAGACUCCUACGGGAGGCAGCAGUAGGGAAUCUUCCGCAAUGGACGCAAGUCUGACGGAGCAACGCCGCGUGAGUGAGGAAGGUCUUCGGAUCGUAAAACUCUGUUGUUAGGGAAGAACACGUACGAGAGUCACUGCUCGUACCUUGACGGUACCUAACCAGAAAGCCACGGCUAACUACGUGCCAGCAGCCGCGGUAAUACGUAGGUGGCAAGCGUUGUCCGGAAUUAUUGGGCGUAAAGCGCGCGCAGGCGGCUUCUUAAGUCUGAUGUGAAAUCUCGCGGCUCAACCGUGAGCGGUCAUUGGAAACUGGGGAGCUUGAGUACAGAAGAGGAGAGCGGAAUUCCACGUGUAGCGGUGAAAUGCGUAGAGAUGUGGAGGAACACCAGUGGCGAAGGCGGCUCUCUGGUCUGUAACUGACACUGAGGCGCGAAAGCGUGGGUAGCGAACAGGAUUAGAUACCCUGGUAGUCCACGCCGUAAACGAUGAGUGCUAGGUGUUAGGGGUUUCCACCCUUAGUGCUGCAGUUAACGCAAUAAGCACUCCGCCUGGGGAGUACGGCCGCAAGGCUGAAACUCAAAUGAAUUUGACG
RNAcentral lists this ribosomal RNA (938 nucleotides) under uncultured bacterium. Its description in RNAcentral is "bacterial SSU rRNA". It matches the Rfam family "Bacterial small subunit ribosomal RNA", at positions 8 to 915 of the family's 1533-position model. The record is from RNAcentral.